AACGAACGCUGGCGGCAGGCCUAACACAUGCAAGUCGAGGGGGAAGCCAUUUUCGGGAUGGUGGAGACCGGCGCACGGGUGAGUAACGCGUGGGCACCUGCCCUGGGGUGGGGGAUAACCGCUGGAAACGGCGGCUAAUACCGCAUACGCCUUAAGAGGGAAAGAUUUAUCGCCCUGGGAGGGGCCCGCGUUGGAUUAGCUUGUUGGUGGGGUAACGGCCCACCAAGGCGACGAUCCAUAGCUGGUCUGAGAGGAUGAUCAGCCACACUGGGACUGAGACACGGCCCAGACUCCUACGGGAGGCAGCAGUGGGGAAUAUUGGACAAUGGGGGCAACCCUGAUCCAGCCAUGCCGCGUGCGUGAAGAAGGCCUUAGGGUUGUAAAGCGCUUUCACCGGUGACGAUGAUGACGGUAGCCGGAGAAGAAGCCCCGGCUAACUCCGUG
Molecule: ribosomal RNA, 444 nt
Filed under: uncultured bacterium
Lineage: Bacteria
Description: bacterial SSU rRNA
Rfam family: Bacterial small subunit ribosomal RNA
Source: RNAcentral